UAGUUGUUGAAAAAGGCAAAGUUGGGAAUUCACACGAUACAGCAGGGGCGUUGCCGUAGCUUUGCCCACGUGUGUCCCACGAUUGACAGCCGAAAUCAACUCUGGCACCACACUACUUUAAACUAACAUUUACAUAGGAGUAUUUUUUUUUUUAAUUGAAAGGAAAAAGGUGACGGUAUAAAAAGAGUUUUUUUUUACACACACACACAUAUAUAUAUAUAGAUAUAUGAGGACCCAGAGGCAGAGACAGUUCCAAUCAGGACGGACACUUCCCUCCAUUAAAAGCAGAUCUCAUCUCGUGUCUAAGCUGAAAGAUGAUACUCUACCUAUGUGAUUUCCUCCUCCGCUGUCACUUCAUCAAGUCUCUUUCCGUGGAAAUGCCCUGGAAGCCAAGCCCCGACGAGCUUUCCCUUCCACAUCCCUCCUUCUUCUUCUUCUUCUUCUUAAGGAAUAUUUUCGAUCCAGAGCGAGGCACGACACAUCCAUCGUCUGCAGAAGAAACCUUAAACCAAUAUCCGCAGAAUUUGAGGGUAAGUCGUCUAUUCAUAUCAUAUCAGAGGCCAAUUGUAGCAAAGAUCGAGACUCGAGAGCCUCUAUUCAUGUACUAUAUACUAGUAAUUCAAGGCAAGGAGCAUCUCGUUUUGCAGAUUGGCUUCUUGAGCAGGAUGGGGAUAGGCAUACUUUGGUCUGUCUUAUCAUUUGACUGCAAAAUUGACAGCAUCUAGGGGCUGGGGGGACGAAGAUAUUGAACUAGACUGGAAAAACUGAGGAAAUGAGAUAGUCCUGCUUAUUAAAAAAAGAAAAGUUUAAGAAUAGUGAAAAAGGUGGAAAUAGAUAGUUUCUGGGCAUUGCAUGGAGACGAAGGUUUUGGAAGGCUCUAUCCGGAACCAGAAACACAGGAGAUCCUGAACUCCCGUAGAAUCGGAACAAAAAUAGCCGCAGAGGCUGCAAGACACUGGAUAUUCCCGCAGUCCCUCCUCUGUUAAGGUGCCAUCUGGGGCGGCUGUGCACACGCGGCAAAAUAAGGUGCUAAAGUAGCAGAAAUCCGAAGGGGGAUCAAAAAGGUGCAGAGGUUUUUGUACAAAGUACUAGAGUAUUUAUUAGAACUGCUUCUCCAAGAGUUCAAGUUGGAACUUUCAGGUCUGUCGGGGAGCAAACGAUUGAAGGCGAUCCAUCCAUACGCGAUAUCAAUUGGCCCCCUUUUCCAAACCGUAAUCGCAAGCCAGGAUUAUUCUUAAUUUAUUUUGACAGUAACUGCACCUCCGGUUCCGCGUGUCCAAGCCGACAAAAGCUAUGGUUUUCGGUCUCAAAUUAUAGAUUUAUUUUCUCUUCGAGCAGGUGGUUGUUGGCGUAUAAAUUUACGCCUAUGCCCAUGAUUAUUGUGCAUUUUAAUUAUAGCAAAUAUGCUACUGCUAGUAUCACCACCUAAGUGGGCGAACCCUUGUUUUCUACCAAAAAAUAUCACAUCUAAGUGGUUUGUUUCUAAAAUAA
Molecule: non-coding RNA, 1491 nt
Organism: Coffea arabica (coffee)
Lineage: Eukaryota; Viridiplantae; Streptophyta; Magnoliopsida; Gentianales; Rubiaceae
Source: RefSeq, a predicted model, not a curated record